Molecule: non-coding RNA, 1423 nt
Organism: Vicugna pacos (alpaca)
Lineage: Eukaryota; Metazoa; Chordata; Mammalia; Artiodactyla; Camelidae
Source: RefSeq, a predicted model, not a curated record
CCGGGCAGCCCGCCCACCAGUAGCUCCGAAUAAACCAGCCGCUCGGCCACUUCAGCUGGGCUCGGAGAUGGGUUUUUUUCACUCUCGGCACCUGUCUGGCUCCUUCUGGAAACCUGUGUCCAUUUUUGCCAUGACAGAUACCAACUGGGGCUUCUCUAUCCCCCAGCUCCCAGGAAAACGGCUUGUCCCACCUCCACGCCACCCCCAGUUCCACAGUCUCUGGACGCCCCAGCCCUUUCCCAGUGCCCACCAGGUCCCAGGACUCCGCGUCUCACACCCUCUGCCGGCUGCGGGCACCUGCUUCCCACAUGGCUGCCCCGACAGCCCAGGUCAACUUUGCAUCAAUACUCAGCCCCUAAGUUCCAUGAAAACCUUGUUCUCACAACACAGCAGUGAGCAGAGCAGGAGGCACGGAGGAGCUCAGGUGGGAGGAGAGGAGACUUACCUUGUCUCUGUGACAGACACACCUUGGAAGCACAUCACUGCUCCCAAAAUGGCCUUUGGCCCCUCCGUCCUGGCCAUAAGGCCACACGGGCUCACCUGGCCCCGUCCUUUGUCAUCUCCGCACUCUCUCUCUCUCCUUGUCCUCCUCACCACCUCUCUUCUCCAGAAACAACAGCAGAGCCCUCCCUUUCUCAGGGAAGCAAGGCCCCUCCUGGGGCUGCAUUAGACACCUGCAAGCAAGUGUCAUUUCUUGCUUCUUCCCCAAGCAACAGUCACAGAAGUCUUCAGACGAGAAACUUCUCUCCCUCAACGGAACUCUGGGGCCAGUGGUUAAAAUAAUAAACUUUUUCCCACCAUGUGAUGUAACAGUCACAAGCACAUUUCUGGCCAACCCAAACCAAAUAUGAUUAUACCAAGGUCCUUCCCGCAAGGAAGUCCACGUGGCAGGCACAAGGUGUCACAGAGAAGGCCACACGGGUACAGAGUGCCACUGGUGAGGCAUCAAUACUCAGCCCCUAACAAAGGUGAGGCUGGAACAAGAGCCCCAGACUCCGGCGGAUGGACAACAGGGAGGGAUGGGGACUGUGGCACACCAGAGAGCCGUGUUCCAUCCAGAGGCAGCAGGCAGGGAGGUCCUCGCAGGCAGAACUGUAUUUCCAUUAUUCGUAUGUAUUAACUGAGUCAUAUUUAAGGGUAGACUAGACUCCAUCCCAUUGUGUCUGUACUAAAAUUUUAUUCGUUCAUCUCUUAUUGCUAAACAUUUAGGUUUAAGUGGAAACUGCAAUUACAAUUGUGUACAGCAGUUAUAAACCGCUGUCCAGUUUUCCCCUUUACUAGCAUUUUUGAACCAAUAUUAGAAUUCCAAUCAACAUUCUAAUCAAAACCUCUUGAUGAAGGUCAUUUCUAUGCCACCCCUUGUCUGGGACAUUUAGGUUCUUUCCAAGCUCCCUCACCCCAAAUAAAUGCAUUGUGGUUGAAA